This 2905-nucleotide ribosomal RNA is filed under the name Enterobacter roggenkampii. RNAcentral describes it as "23S ribosomal RNA". It matches the Rfam family "Bacterial large subunit ribosomal RNA". The record is from RNAcentral. Lineage: Bacteria; Pseudomonadati; Pseudomonadota; Gammaproteobacteria; Enterobacterales; Enterobacteriaceae.
GGUUAAGCGACUAAGCGUACACGGUGGAUGCCCUGGCAGUCAGAGGCGAUGAAGGACGUGCUAAUCUGCGAAAAGCGCCGGCGAGGUGAUAUGAACCUUUGACCCGGCGAUGUCCGAAUGGGGAAACCCAGUGUGAUUCGUCACACUAUCGUUAACUGAAUACAUAGGUUAACGAGGCGAACCGGGGGAACUGAAACAUCUAAGUACCCCGAGGAAAAGAAAUCAACCGAGAUUCCCCCAGUAGCGGCGAGCGAACGGGGAGCAGCCCAGAGUCUGAAUCAGCUUGUGUGUUAGUGGAAGCGUCUGGAAAGUCGCACGGUACAGGGUGACAGUCCCGUACACGAAAAUGCACAGGUUGUGAACUCGAAGAGUAGGGCGGGACACGUGGUAUCCUGUCUGAAUAUGGGGGGACCAUCCUCCAAGGCUAAAUACUCCUGACUGACCGAUAGUGAACCAGUACCGUGAGGGAAAGGCGAAAAGAACCCCGGCGAGGGGAGUGAAAAAGAACCUGAAACCGUGUACGUACAAGCAGUGGGAGCACCUUCGUGGUGUGACUGCGUACCUUUUGUAUAAUGGGUCAGCGACUUAUAUUCUGUAGCAAGGUUAACCGUAUAGGGGAGCCGAAGGGAAACCGAGUCUUAACUGGGCGUUAAGUUGCAGGGUAUAGACCCGAAACCCGGUGAUCUAGCCAUGGGCAGGUUGAAGGUUGGGUAACACUAACUGGAGGACCGAACCGACUAAUGUUGAAAAAUUAGCGGAUGACUUGUGGCUGGGGGUGAAAGGCCAAUCAAACCGGGAGAUAGCUGGUUCUCCCCGAAAGCUAUUUAGGUAGCGCCUCGUGAACUCAUCUUCGGGGGUAGAGCACUGUUUCGGCUAGGGGGCCAUCCCGGCUUACCAACCCGAUGCAAACUACGAAUACCGAAGAAUGUUAUCACGGGAGACACACGGCGGGUGCUAACGUCCGUCGUGAAGAGGGAAACAACCCAGACCGCCAGCUAAGGUCCCAAAGUCAUGGUUAAGUGGGAAACGAUGUGGGAAGGCACAGACAGCCAGGAUGUUGGCUUAGAAGCAGCCAUCAUUUAAAGAAAGCGUAAUAGCUCACUGGUCGAGUCGGCCUGCGCGGAAGAUGUAACGGGGCUAAACCAUGCACCGAAGCUGCGGCAGCGACACUAUGUGUUGUUGGGUAGGGGAGCGUUCUGUAAGCCGUUGAAGGUGGCCUGUGAGGGUUGCUGGAGGUAUCAGAAGUGCGAAUGCUGACAUAAGUAACGAUAAAGCGGGUGAAAAGCCCGCUCGCCGGAAGACCAAGGGUUCCUGUCCAACGUUAAUCGGGGCAGGGUGAGUCGACCCCUAAGGCGAGGCCGAAAGGCGUAGUCGAUGGGAAACAGGUUAAUAUUCCUGUACUUGGUGUUACUGCGAAGGGGGGACGGAGAAGGCUAUGUUAGCCGGGCGACGGUUGUCCCGGUUUAAGCAUGUAGGCGGAACGAUUAGGUAAAUCCGGUCGUUUUUUAACGCUGAGGUGUGAUGACGAGGCACUACGGUGCUGAAGUAACAAAUGCCCUGCUUCCAGGAAAAGCCUCUAAGCAUCAGGUAACAUCAAAUCGUACCCCAAACCGACACAGGUGGUCAGGUAGAGAAUACCAAGGCGCUUGAGAGAACUCGGGUGAAGGAACUAGGCAAAAUGGUGCCGUAACUUCGGGAGAAGGCACGCUGAUAUGUAGGUGAAGCCCCUGCGGGUGGAGCUGAAAUCAGUCGAAGAUACCAGCUGGCUGCAACUGUUUAUUAAAAACACAGCACUGUGCAAACACGAAAGUGGACGUAUACGGUGUGACGCCUGCCCGGUGCCGGAAGGUUAAUUGAUGGGGUUAGCGGCAACGCGAAGCUCUUGAUCGAAGCCCCGGUAAACGGCGGCCGUAACUAUAACGGUCCUAAGGUAGCGAAAUUCCUUGUCGGGUAAGUUCCGACCUGCACGAAUGGCGUAAUGAUGGCCAGGCUGUCUCCACCCGAGACUCAGUGAAAUUGAACUCGCUGUGAAGAUGCAGUGUACCCGCGGCAAGACGGAAAGACCCCGUGAACCUUUACUAUAGCUUGACACUGAACACUGGUCCUUGAUGUGUAGGAUAGGUGGGAGGCUUUGAAGUGUGGACGCCAGUCUGCAUGGAGCCGUCCUUGAAAUACCACCCUUUAAUGGCUGGUGUUCUAACGUAGACCCGUGAUCCGGGUUGCGGACAGUGUCUGGUGGGUAGUUUGACUGGGGCGGUCUCCUCCCAAAGAGUAACGGAGGAGCACGAAGGUUAGCUAAUCCUGGUCGGACAUCAGGAGGUUAGUGCAAUGGCAUAAGCUAGCUUGACUGCGAGAGUGACGGCUCGAGCAGGUGCGAAAGCAGGUCAUAGUGAUCCGGUGGUUCUGAAUGGAAGGGCCAUCGCUCAACGGAUAAAAGGUACUCCGGGGAUAACAGGCUGAUACCGCCCAAGAGUUCAUAUCGACGGCGGUGUUUGGCACCUCGAUGUCGGCUCAUCACAUCCUGGGGCUGAAGUAGGUCCCAAGGGUAUGGCUGUUCGCCAUUUAAAGUGGUACGCGAGCUGGGUUUAGAACGUCGUGAGACAGUUCGGUCCCUAUCUGCCGUGGGCGCUGGAGAAUUGAGGGGGGCUGCUCCUAGUACGAGAGGACCGGAGUGGACGCAUCACUGGUGUUCGGGUUGUCAUGCCAAUGGCACUGCCCGGUAGCUAAAUGCGGAAAAGAUAAGUGCUGAAAGCAUCUAAGCACGAAACUUGCCCCGAGAUGAGUUCUCCCUGAGACUUUAAGUCUCCUGAAGGAACGUUGAAGACGACGACGUUGAUAGGUCGGGUGUGUAAGCGCAGCGAUGCGUUGAGCUAACCGAUACUAAUGAACCGUGAGGCUUAACCUU